CAUCAUAUUGUGCACAAGUUUGGCACAUGACGAAUGAAAGCAAUUAAACGACUAUAGCCUCCUUAAGUCAGCCAUCCCUAGCAACAGUUUUUAUUUGAGGAAAUUUGAGUUAAGUUCUCACGAGGGUUGUGCUUAGCUGAAAAGGAAGAAACCAGCUGGCCGACUAGAGCCUAAAGCUAACUAUCUGCCGCUCGAACGUAUCCGCCGGUCACAUUAUCACUUUUCGACGCUGAACUCAUCAAAGCCUGCCUGCGGCAAUUUAUUUAUCGUGAUGCUAUUCCUAACUCCUGUUCUUUACCCUGGAUCUGUUCUGCUAAGAACUAAACGAACUAAAUGCCAAAAUAAGAAGAGAAAGAUGUGGAUGGGAAAACAAACUAACUACAGAGAAUGAAAAGAGCGUCAAUACAAAAGAAGAAAAGGAAACUGAUAGGCCAUGCAAAUGCAUCAGAAACUUCCGUAAUCAACCACGCAAAAUAAUCAGCCCUGUGGAGGUGGUGGCAUUUGGCGAACAAAUAUUCGAUGUUCGUUCACCUCCUCGUUAAAACACCAUGGUAUUUUUAGAGCAAGCCGCCAGCGUUUCCGAGGCACCGUGAUUGAAUGUUUUGGUAGUGCCCACAGCAUUUUCAGCCGGGUGCAUGGACGCACACCUCAUGCUCUUGAACCGGAACAUGACCAGUCUCUCUCUGCGACCUUUUUUUUUAACCUCUUUCCAUUCACUCACUGAGCUUUGAAUAAUUUGUUAUUUCUAUAUUUCAAGAAAAUCGUGUUGUCUGGUUGGGUUUCAUCGGAGUUGAUGUAAUUUAUUGGAUCACCUCAACACAGAAAUGUUAAUGAAUUAUUCAGACAGGUAGCAUAGAUUAGUUUGUUAGAAAUUCAACGUUAGGUUUCGAUUGACUCACUCUGUGACGUCCCGGCUUUCCAUAUUUGGCUGGAAAAUAUCUUACCUGAGAUAUCGACUGAGGAUGGAUGAGGAUCAAGUACAAGCCCAAUGAAGGGGAAGUCACGUGGUUCAACCACGUGACCUUCCAAACGUUACUACCUAGCUCAAUCUUUGGAUCGAUGAGUAUAUGUCAGAUAUUACGAGAUACAUUUUCGCACAACAAACGGUUUUAAAAUUAAGACAAUGAUUUUGAUUGAGCGACUGUAAGGAAUGUUUAUCACUUAUUAGACUUCACAUUCAUUUGUAUUGAUGCAUUUGAACUAAAGAAGGUUUACUUAACCUAUAUACUCUAAGCAAAUUACAAUUGCCAAAAUGCGAAACUGUGAAUUAACCGCUAUCCUCCAUUACAAAUUUUAUAAACCCAAGACCGGCCCGAGCAAAUAGGACCGAUGUUUACUUUAACUGUAUUGCGUUUAAAGGUGAAUCCGCUGUAGCCCGUGAGCCGGGGUUUUUACCAGGCAGGCUUCAACACGCGACGGUGGCGAAGCCUUGAAAAACAAAUAUGGUAAGGAGUAAAAAAAACUCUUAUUUACAUAAUUUUUUUUUACAAUCCGGCUUCCUUCUAAAUUGAAUAUAUUCGUUGACAUAGUUCCUUCGAAAAACUUACGUAGAAUACUAGAUAAUACGGUCUUAUCAACGGAAUAAAUAACGUAAAUUGUG
RNAcentral lists this long non-coding RNA (1600 nucleotides) under Pocillopora damicornis (cauliflower coral). Its description in RNAcentral is "uncharacterized LOC113686709". Lineage: Eukaryota; Metazoa; Cnidaria; Anthozoa; Scleractinia; Pocilloporidae. The record is from RNAcentral.